AUACGAAGGUCCCAAGCGUUAUUCGGAAUCACUGGGCGUAAAGAGUACGUAGGCGGUUUGGUAAGUCAGGUGUGAAAUCCCGAAGCUCAACUUCGGAACUGCAUCCGAUACUGCCAGACUAGAGUAAUGGAGAGGCAGGUGGAAUUCUCGGUGUAGCAGUGAAAUGCGUGGAUAUCGAGAGGAAGACCAAUGGCGAAGGCAGCCUGCUGGACAUUUACUGACGCUGAGGUACGAAGGCUAGGGUAGCGAAAGGGAUUAGAAACCCCAGUAGUCC
Molecule: ribosomal RNA, 274 nt
Filed under: uncultured bacterium
Lineage: Bacteria
Description: partial 16S ribosomal RNA
Rfam family: Bacterial small subunit ribosomal RNA
Source: RNAcentral